AGAUUGUUUAUUAAGUUAAAUUAAGUAUGUUUUAACUGGAAUAGAGUGAAAAGCUUGAAAAUUUGGCCAAGAUACAUUUUCUGUUAUGACAAAAUCGUUUGAGUCUAAAUACUCUAAUGUUUUUAAGUUUAAUCAAAUAAUAUUUAAACAGGAUAAUAAUUUUAAAACAACUUAAGAUGAAAACAAAAAGACUUAGAACUUGAAUCCCUAACAUAAAAAACCUACACAAGACUUAGAACCUGAAUCCCC
RNAcentral lists this long non-coding RNA (249 nucleotides) under Vigna radiata. RNAcentral describes it as "long non-coding RNA (VRAD_LNC016884)". Lineage: Eukaryota; Viridiplantae; Streptophyta; Magnoliopsida; Fabales; Fabaceae. The record is from RNAcentral.